Ostrea edulis (European flat oyster) is the source of this 638-nucleotide long non-coding RNA. RefSeq lists it as uncharacterized. The record is from RefSeq and is a predicted model, not a curated record. Lineage: Eukaryota; Metazoa; Mollusca; Bivalvia; Ostreida; Ostreidae. The transcript has 5 exons.
AGAGAUGUCACCUCGGAUUUACCAGAAAGGCGGUGUAAUUCUCCUUGCAUACCUCGUACUCGUUUUGUCAUCUGCUGAAACACAUGUAUACGAAUAUUCUUUUGAGGUAUAUUCAGUAUCAAACUGUCCAAUGAGCAAAGAGGCGUGGGAAAAGGCGUCUAUCCGGUUAAAAUGCACUCAACAGCAUGGAUAUCAAUGUGUUCCAGAUAAAUAUUUCACCUCACUUAUUGAAUUCUGUUAUCCACAUGGAUACAGAUUGCCUUUCGAAAAAGGACAUUGUAUCAAAUUAGCAGCAGCUGGUAUCUUAAACCAAGUUCCCUGCAACACCUUCGACAGUGGAUGCCCUGAACAGUUUUAUUUCAGCAAUGAUAUAUACAAAUAUCCAAAGUGCUUGUCGAUCAACACGAAUUUCAGAUGCUUUGAUGCAGAUGUUCUAUGCAUAUUAUCCAAAAUUGCCGAACGCACUACGAGCAACGUUCACAACACUAGCUCCCAAAAUAUUACAACGAUAAUGAACAGAAUAAAGAACAACUACACAGACUACUUUGGGCCCUUUGCUGUCAUCUUGACUCUGUUUGUCGUUGAGAACCUUGCAGUAUUUGGAUUUGUUAUGUACAAAUUUUACAUCAGAAGGAAAU